This 30-nucleotide non-coding RNA is filed under the name Cricetulus griseus (Chinese hamster). The record is from RNAcentral. Lineage: Eukaryota; Metazoa; Chordata; Mammalia; Rodentia; Cricetidae.
AGUUAGGAACAUGUAUGUAACAUGAAGCAG